GGACCUGCUCUGAAUAUGUUUAUUGAGGGGAAAGGGCUGUCUUGGGCUUACCUUUGCGUAAGCAUGAAAAGCUGGAUGAUUAGUGUGAUAUUCUUACUGGGAACUAUUUCUCUUUGCUUUUUGCUGUAGUAAGCAUUCCGUUCCCCAGUAGCGGAUGCAAGGGAGAUAGGCACAAAGGGCUGGACCUUCCUCACAAUGCAUUAGAUGUCCUACAACUAUGGUAAGGCAGUGAGUGAAUAACUCUGGGUAGCUGUUUCUUUAGAUCAUGUGAGUUCCUGCCAGAGAGGAAAACACAAACACUACUCCCCAGAAACAGCAAAUAGCCGUUGAGAAGUGCUAGGAAUCAGGUUUUUCCAUACCUGUUGUGGCUGCCACCAUUUUUCAUCUUGUUUUUCACUCCUCCAUCUGCCAGGAAUGAGGAGAUCAGCAGGAGGAGAUCAGCUGAAGGAGAUGGAGAAAGGUGGAGCCAGCAUCCAAAAUGGGGAAGAUACUCCUCUGCUUAUUUGAAAUGUUACUCAUAUGCUCUCUGAACUACAAACUGGUAAGAGAUGCCAGGUUAACAGCCUGUAAGACUGAAAUUUGUGUUUAUCCAAAGACAACAGCAAGAACAGAAGCUAUGUGGUUUCAUAUGUAUCUGGCUUUGACCUUCAAUGUUUUUUCCAGCAGAAUGGCUACUUUGCUAGAAAACAUUGUUCCAAGACAACAAAAGCCCUUCAAAAACCUGGAUCAAAUACAGCAAAUAAUUUUGGCCAGAAGAAUAGAUGAAAAUGCAGAAAAGUUGAAAUAUUGAAUGUUGGUAUUUCUGAACUACUACAGUUUGCUUUUCCCUUUGACCAAAGAAGUUAAAUAAGUUUGAUAUAAAAAAAGUCAUAUAACAGGAAUAAAAUCUUAGAAGAAGCAUGCGGUUGGACUAGCAAAUUUGGAUUACUUCAGUGCUCAACAAAAGAGGCCAUCAGCCUCAUCAGAGCUAACCCAAAAAGACAACAACUUCACAAGGUGACCCAAAGUUCAUGUGCUCAUCCUGUAAAAGUCUCUCUGCCUUCACUGAUUGUUCAGAAGGCUUUUGUAGACAGGCCAACUAAAUUAGACAUCUCUCUCAGCUACCUGAAAUUCAGUGGUUUGACCUUUCAAAACAUGUCACUCUGCUUGAAUUAAACAUUGCAGGUAGAGCUGAAAAGGAAAAUUUGUUUCACCAAUCUGAGAUGCAUUUAUAUCUCGCUGCAAUGCUGACUUGAAUGGCAUACUCAUGGGUGAUAUCAGCAAUGAAAAUUUGACCAUGAGACAAUUUCCAUGAUUGCACAGAGUUGCUCUGAACCAGGACUACACAUUCACAACUUGCAAAGAAGUUGAGCUUGAUUUCCACUUUUCCUUUCUUCAGUCACCAGGAUGGUUUCCACGCAUGGUGUCAGGGCCAUGUAAGUAAAGUGAACGCACAGAGGCACCAACUAUGUUACGCUUUUUGCCUAUAUUAUUACUAAAGCUGAAGCUAAGAUACUCUUACAUUUUCCUUAUCCUUCUCCAACACUGAUUUUACCAUUUUCUCUCUUCAUCUUGAGACAUGUCCCUGUAAAGGAGGCUCAAGACCCACCAUCCUGAAGGGUCUCCUUCCCAGACAUUCACUGUUAGACUGGAGCUGUAAAAUGAAAGGAGCUACCUCGGUUCUGCCUUACUCACUGGGAAGUACAAAGCCUUCCUUCUGCUUGCCACACUACCGGAAAUUCCCAUGUAUAAACUCUUGCUUCUAUGAGAGACAACCUGAAGAAGGACAAAUUGUUUGGAAGUUCUUUUUCAGUCUGUGAGAUCUAGGCUUUGUACCCAGUUUCCUGUUUCACCCUUCUCUUCAUUUUUCCUGCCUUUGUGGCACUGGAACUGUACAACCUCUCUCAAGCCUUUAGGGCCUGAACAGUUCUGCCUGAUCUCAAAUGAAUUUUCAAAAUAUAAGAUCCAACCAUGUAAAGGAUUGGAGAAAAAUAUUCUAAAUCUUUUUGUUUAACCAGGCACCAAUCACUGUGUUAUCUGAGCUCCUCACAAGUAAGACAUGUCUUACAGAACAUUUAUUGCAUUUUAUCUCGGGGAUAUUGUUUGCCUAUCAGCCUUUAUCUCAGGAUUUCGCAAAAUACCUAAAAGCAUUUUAAUCAAAGGACAGAGAACAAGGUGAGCAGUAAUUACAGCUAUUCAAACAUCAUGACACUUUUUACAAUUGUGGAAUAACAAAGUUAACUCACAAGAUAGUCCACACCUAUGAAAAGAUUCAUGAAGAAAAAGGACUCAAUCUUUUCUUCUUGCAGAAAGGUUUCAGUUAAUUGCUGAGAGCUGACCGUCACAGAGAGUCAAUUCUGUGCUGGCAAAUACACCUAAAGCCUUCCUGACAUUAAAACAAAAAAAGCCCAACCUGAUAUUAAAGCAACAGACAUACUUGCAAGGGAAGUUGGACGUGUUUCUGUCAAUCUAAUCCACCACAGUAGGAUGACAGAACACCACACCAUUUUCAGUUCUGUUCCAGCUCCACACAGAGGACCCUAACUCCACUUCUGGCUCUGUGCCUCAACUUGAAAACUGAGAUAAUCGUGCUCAUUUGACUCACGUGGAUGCUGUAAAGAUGCUUUGUAAAUCACUUUCAGAAACUUGACAGAAGGCCCUUCUGAGUUUUAAUUGAUCAGCAUUUUUUCAGAUAGCAAGACAACAAUGAUGCAAAAGCAGCAGAAAAUGUUAUGUCUGGAUUAAAAUUAAAUAGGAUGUAGAUCGCUUGGAUGAGCCCUCCUGGGGGUGGUGUUGCAGAAAUAUUUCCACUUCCAGGGAAUAUGCUGUACUAGUAGUGUGCAAAAUUUCACACCAUACUCAAACACUGACCCUUUCUGUCUCUCUCAAAGUUGCACCCUGAGGGGCCAGAAGUCUAAGUUUUUUUUCAAGUAAUUAUACAUAAUUACACAGUGAUGCAAAGUGCCAUAAAAUGAAAGAGAGAAGACAUUUGCCAAGAAGGGCUUCUAUAAUCCUCGUCAUGAUGUACAUGGAAUGUACUCCAUCUCCUUCUAAUUUUACAUUAUGCAUUGCAGUCAUAUUGUAGGUGAAAUACUCUUUUGAAGUAUGAAUUAAUUAGCCCAUCUUUAUUUCCAAACAGAGGUCAUAUAGUUAAUUAUUAAACAGUUGAAGGAGUCAGACAGGUCCUUUCUUACCAUGUUCUGCUCCAUAAGCUUCAUAGUGCAAUCUCUUCCAGGGAAGGUACAAGGACUGAUGUUAAAGGGAAUAAAUAGAAAUAUCCUUGCUCUCCAAAAAUUAUAAUCUCCAUUUUGUAGCUGUGAGCCAGAGAUGUCUACAUAGAGCAAGGUCUGAUUUUGUAGGGUGUCUGAAACUGCCCAUCUUUUUAAAUGGGGGCAACUCCUAUUGAUGCUUUACAUGGGAGCAUUGCUGAACUCUGCAAAGCAAUCGCAAAGGAAGGAAAGCAUCACCAUGCAAAGGAGAUGCAUUAUUAUUCUGUAGGCUUGGCUACUCAUGGAAGUAAGAAGGAUAAAUAAGGAGAUUAAUUUAUGUAUCCUGAACUACCUCACAUUAGCUACGCUGUCACAUUUUUUUAUUCAUGGUAAAUGCAAGGUAAUCUUUCCCUGCUUAUAAAUUUAUAAAUGCACACUGCGUGAUAAUGUAUGGCAUCUUGCUUGUAAUGAUUCCCCAAAUGUCUGUUCCUUAGAGGAAUCCUUUCACCCUACAUGGUAAGCUGCUGGAGGCCCUGAUUCUUUCAAGGGAUUCUUCCAUAUCCUAAAGACACACACAUUUCACUAUUUUGGAAAAAAACAACCCACUACAGGCAGAAAAUUUAUGUCUUGUGCAGAAAAUAAAAGAAACAAAAAAGGACAGAUCAACAACUGAUUCACAAUUUAUGACUUGUUAAGCAUUUUGCUUCAUAACCACAAUCUGUUUACAUGAACUGCUUUAGUGUAAGAGUCAAAAAGUUAAUUGCUCAGUUGCAGGAAUCUUAGAUAAAAGUUUGUUCAGUAACUAUAAUUCACUACAGCCUACCAGAAGUCUGCAAGUAAAUAACUUUGCACCAAAGUCCUUCUACUGCCCUCUGAUGACUCACAAGUAACAGAAGCUUUCUGAAGCAAAAGAAGAGAUUGUCUUAUGAGAGGGUGUGAUUUAUUCCAAUCAAAGCUCCUGACUAGUGUCACUUCUGUUCUGUUUGAUAUCUGUGAGAGUCCAUUUCAAGAACAUCAUAUAAGCUUGGGCAAAAGUUUUCAAAAAACAAUGCCUUGCCUCUCAGCUCCCCACUCAUUUUCACCAGUGAUAUACCUUAAAUGCCACAGCCAUAUUGCGAACAACAUACGUUUUUCUGUACUUAGCAGAAGAUCAGGAACCUUUAAGAUAAUGUCCAGAAGUGCUUGCAUUAUAUCCUUCCUUAUGUGUCCCAUAAACUGAAAUGUCAUCUCCAUAAACUUCCACUCCCCUUAGGCCCUCUGGGCAGCAUCAUUUCCCUUCUGUACAGGGGUCUGCAUAAGCAGUAACUCCCAACCAGCCCUGUGCAAUUCGUCACCUGCUAUCACCAAGCUGGGCAAGAACUUUGGACAAGCUGUGGGCUGCACCCCACUGGGGCUAUAUUGACACAUCAGGUAGGACGCAGAUGGAGCCCAAGAACCAAGCAAGCAGUCUUGAGGCUCGGUUUAUUUCCUUCCCUGUUGCCUGGUUAGGCACAUUUUGCUUCUUACCCAACAAUAGGAUUGUGUGGAGACCUAUGAGAUUGUGCACAGGGUGGGUUUCCAUCUUCCACAGCAACCUCCAUGAAUCAUGUGCUUCUUACAAAGCCAAGACCCAAGGAUUUCCCUGUACACUGACAGAGCUGGCCUCGGAUUACCAGGUUACAAAGACAUCACUCAUAUCCUCUUUGCUUUUGUAGCAUGUGUAGGCUCUGAAUGGAUCUAGACAACUGAUUUGUCACCUUGAGCCAGUGCACUUUUGUGCCUUUACAAAUCCCAGUCACCUCUGCCCUGGAAUCAAUGUGAAAUUUAACAACUGUAUUGCAGACCUUAAAAAUAACAGUCUAGACUUGUUCAUGAAUGCCUGCUUUGGACAUUGAACUCAGAAAAUAGGUAACUCUCACUUGUAUUUGCCCUUUCUCCCUGGCUCCUUUGCUUUGACAGACACAUUCCCAGUAUCCUAUUAUCUUACAUGUUUGUACUACAGUAAGUGGGCAUAACUGAUUUACCUUUUCUUCUGCAUUCAUGGCUUUCUGUACUUCUGUCCGGCCCCUUCUUAUUCAUCUUUUCUUCUGAACUGAACAAAGAAGUUUGUUGGAAAAAGAAGAACAAGAUUAACACUGAAAACUACCGUGAAUCUAUCUUCCCUUUACUGCACAGCCUCUGCCUAAAGCCUCUGGUUUCUAUCUCACAUUUAAAGAAACAGCAACUUCCUAACCAGGGCAUUUUCCUUUUUCUUCCCCAGCACAAGCUUUGUCUGAGCACAGACCCAGAUGCCUUUCCAGAACCUUCAUCUUCAGUGAUGUCCCAUACCAGCCCUGUCCUGGUAUAACAGACUUGGGCCAAGUGGAACAGCAAACAGCACAGCAAAGUUGUUCCAGAGAAGUAGUCAGUAUACACCUUCAUCUUUUUAGCAUACUUUAGCAACAGAAAGUUAGGAAAAACAUCAGGACCAAGUCACCAGCAGGGUCUGACAUCCAUGAAUGUGUCCCACUCAAAUCAUAAGCUGAUUAUGAGAUCACAACUUCAGCAGCCAUAUGUCAUUGAAGGACCCUCACUGCGCAUGUGGUUUCCUUAUUGAAAUAAAAAGAUAUAUUUUCCUUUGACUUCUCUAAAGAAGCAAAAUUACCUAGCAGGAAGCAAGGAGGGUGAAGAGAUAAAGACGAUUAUAAUCACAGAAUUAGGAGCAGCACAGAAGUCUCCAAGAGGAUCUGUACUUGGGAAAAAAUUACUCAGUAAACAUCCGGACCUCUGUUAACCCAAGAAAGGACUCAUUAGGUACAAACGGACCGUCACUGACUACCAUUUGUUUGUUCUCCAAUUUUAUUUAUUUCUUCUAACUCAGAGAAAUAAAUCUCAUUUUGACCCUAAUGCAUGACUCACUCUUCUCAAAAAAGCAGGUUAUUAGCAGCAGCUUCCUCAGCUGAGAAGUAUCAAGCAUCUUUCUCUAUCUCUCACCUCUCUUGUAGCAAUAACUACUUGGUGUGGUGAUGAUAAGAGAAGCUCCAUUCAAGAGUUCAAAUGCUCCCAAUGAAACUAAAAAUUAGUGCCAAGAACAGCCCCAACAAAUUGAAGAGCGGAUGUCAAAAAGUCCCCCUCGAAUUGUGUGAAGGGGUAGGAAAAAGGCAGAGGAAAUGAGAGAUAGGAGGAAGACCUGCUUUUUCUGUGCAAUUUCACAGAAUGAUUCCAAUAAACCUAAAGCUUUCUUUUUUUGAUAGUAAAUAGACAGUUACUUCAAUGAAGCCCAUCCCCUGCAGCCCCAGGAUUCAUUCCUUUUUUGGAAAAAAAAAAAAAAAAGUUACCUCU
Numida meleagris (helmeted guineafowl) is the source of this 6488-nucleotide long non-coding RNA. RefSeq lists it as uncharacterized. The transcript is spliced from 3 exons. Lineage: Eukaryota; Metazoa; Chordata; Aves; Galliformes; Numididae. The record is from RefSeq and is a predicted model, not a curated record.